UGGGGAAUCUUGGACAAUGGGCGCAAGCCUGAUCCAGCGACGCCGCGUGGGUGACGAAGGCCUUCGGGUUGUAAAGCCCUUUUGUCGGGGACGAUGAUGACGGUACCCGGCGAAUAAGCACCGGCUAACUCCGUGCCAGCAGCCGCGGUAAGACGGAGGGUGCUAGCGUUGUUCGGAAUUACUGGGCGUAAAGGGCGCGUAGGCGGCCUCUUGCGUCGGAUGUGAAAGCCCGGGGCUCAACCCCGGAACGGCAUCCGAUACGGUGGGGCUCGAGACCGGGAGAGGAGGGUGGAAUACCCAGUGUAGAGGUGAAAUUCGUAGAUAUUGGGUGGAACACCGGUGGCGAAAGCGGCUCUCUGGCCCGGUUCUGACGCUGAGGCGCGAAAGCGUGGGGAGCAAACAG
Molecule: ribosomal RNA, 403 nt
Filed under: uncultured bacterium
Lineage: Bacteria
Description: bacterial SSU rRNA
Rfam family: Bacterial small subunit ribosomal RNA
Source: RNAcentral